UUUUUUUGAUAAUUUUGGUAUUUGGGCAGCCACAUUCCCAACUAUCCCCGAAAGGGGUUCAGCGUUCCAACGGAAGGGAUGUUAGAUCCGUUGUGGCCAAGACUCGAACCCGGGUGGAUCUACCUACCUAAUAACUUGUAUGAUGUUUGCAGUGUGCUAGAGGGUUUUCUUAAAAAAAAAUUGUUAGAAUUAUUUAUGUUUGAUUGAUAAAUAAUAGUGGUUGACUUAAUAGGUUAUUUGAUGUAGAAAACAAAUAGCAGAUUUCGUUUUUUUUGUAGGUGAUUCAAUGAUCAUAUACAUAAUAUCUAUGGAAAGUUGUUAACGUAAUUGCUAUAUCAAUUUGUUGGAACUAUUUUUGUUAUUUGAUUUUCUAAUCAUUAUCUCUACUUAAACAACAUUAAUUAGACAACAUAUCCUAAGUUAAUUGGGAUUAGUUUUUGAGACGACAAAGGAGGUCUCAUACUCUUAUGUCAGGUGAGUAUAGCAGAGCAUAUGCAUCGGGUUGAAGUUCUUCUCAAAAGUAUAAGAUUAGUUUGGUAGCGAAUACUUAUAGUGUUGACUUCGGGUUUAUAGCUAUGAAACAUAACACCAUGCACCAAAUGAAUAAGCGUUAUGUGUAGUGAAAAUUUUGAUUGUUCAGAUGUUUUUUUUUUUUGCCAACUUUUGGAAAGGUAGAUGUUCAUAUAGUAUAUUUGAUUGUAUUCAUUACAACUGAAUGUUCUUUUAUUAUAUUUCAGCUUAUGCACACAAAGUAAAAUAAAGACGGUUGAUUCAGUUUAAGACAAUACAUAUUUUAUACUCGUAUAAAAGAAAAGAAAAUACCUAAUGUUUAAACAAAAGAAAAUGACAACAAGAGCAGAAGAAAACCGUGGGUGUAGAACAAGCGCAAGAGGUAGAGCGUGUGGGAGUGAGUAGGUGAGGUGACUCCGUGACUGUCCACAUGAAGAAACACGUUGACUGCAUUGUGUUGGCGUGAAGUCUUCGGUUUUUGUUUUGGCCUCUCUCGAGAAACUUCUCUAUGUGCUAUCUUUAUCGUUUUGAGUCUCUUCUACGUCACGUUUGUCUCUUCUCCUCCUCAUAUCCCUUAUCAAUGCCUCUCUGUCAACUCACACUUUUACAGAUCAUUGAUCCAUACGAAUAUUUCACUACCAUUACUUAAGUUACUAUCCUCUAAGAAACGUCAAGGCAAAUCACAAAGGUUACAAUACCUGGAGAUGGUUGAUGGAUGCUACCAAGACAUAUAUUGUUAUAUACAAUAUGGAUCCCAAUUAAUGCUUCAUAAAAUCAUGGAACAUAGAUUUCUUCAAUGUUGUUGUUCUUGUUAUCAUACUCCAGUGUCUUGAGACGCAAAUCGCCUAUUUCCAUUUCCGUAUCAUAUCUAUCUCCCCUUGGUCCAAAGGCUCUGUCUAGCUCAGAUGCAAUGGAUCCAACCUCCACAUCAGAUAAGAUAGAGGUGAAAAACAGUGAGCCCACCAACAAACCAGACAACGAUGAAGCAGUAUAUGAUGAGAACAAUAAAUAUUAU
Brassica rapa (field mustard) is the source of this 1525-nucleotide long non-coding RNA. RefSeq lists it as uncharacterized. NCBI's taxonomy places the organism in Eukaryota, Viridiplantae, Streptophyta, Magnoliopsida, Brassicales, Brassicaceae. The record is from RefSeq and is a predicted model, not a curated record.